AGAAUUUCAUGUCUUUUGUAUUAAAGAAUUAAAUGGAUGAAAUAUGAAGUUUUAUUAAAAGAAAAAGGGGUGAAAAGAACAAAGUUUUGUCCAUCUUUGUUCAUCAUAGCUGAAAGUUAGAGAAGAGAAAGGAGAGGAGAAAGCUCUUGAGUAUUUGGUCAUUAGGAGGAGGAAAAUUGAAGGCAGUUCGUGUGUGUGGAUCUCGUCAGCAUAUCGUCGCAAACAGGAAAUCCCCAACCAUAGUGGGCUUGGAGCUGUGAGGGAAUUCGGAGUGGCCACCCGUUCUGAAAGUUUGAUUUUCUUCUGGUGAACUGGACAUCCUUUUAUUUACGUUUGAAGUUUUGGGUUUUUAAAUGUAAUAAGGCCGCUUAAUUA
Gossypium arboreum is the source of this 375-nucleotide long non-coding RNA. RefSeq lists it as uncharacterized. The transcript has 3 exons. NCBI's taxonomy places the organism in Eukaryota, Viridiplantae, Streptophyta, Magnoliopsida, Malvales, Malvaceae. The record is from RefSeq and is a predicted model, not a curated record.